Camelina sativa (false flax) is the source of this 530-nucleotide long non-coding RNA. RefSeq lists it as uncharacterized. The record is from RefSeq and is a predicted model, not a curated record. Lineage: Eukaryota; Viridiplantae; Streptophyta; Magnoliopsida; Brassicales; Brassicaceae.
CUCAAUCCUUCAUUAUGUGUGUCUGUAUAUAAAUAGUUCCCAGUCUAGGCAGAUUAAAACACAAGUUGUAAUAAACCGAAGAUAUUUCGAAGGUCACCCCUGCUGAGCUCUUCUCUACCGUCCAAACUUAUCUAAACGCCGAGGAUUUAUUCAUAUACCAAAUGUCCUUUAACAAGAUAGACUGCCAAAGAAACAGAGGAAGCAAGGAACCGACAAUGAGCUCAUCAGUAAUAUGUUUGUGAUGUAAUUUUUCUUAGUUUAAGCGAUGAUUUUGAAAGAAAUGUUUACUUUGCGGAGGAGGCGGAGAGCAGCAGGACGAGUGAACUUCCUGGCGAAGAGGAAGCACGGCGACGGUUUCCCUUUACUACUACACCAUUCUCGCCGAUAUUCCGUCUCGUAGUUGAUAUUGUCUAUUCCCUGUGAAUCAAUGUGUUUGGUUAGUGAUUCAACUUCUGUUUUAAGCUUGUAAAGAGGGUUAAAGCCAUAGCAAGAAAAAACAAGAUACAUAAUAGAGAUUUUUAGUUCUACCA